This 242-nucleotide unclassified non-coding RNA is filed under the name plant metagenome. Its description in RNAcentral is "partial contains small subunit ribosomal RNA, internal transcribed spacer 1, and 5.8S ribosomal RNA". The record is from RNAcentral.
UUUCCGUUGGUGAACCUGCGGAAGGAUCAUUAAUGAGUUUUCACACCUUCCAAUCCUUGCGAACCGUACGCACUCUGUCCCCGUUGCUUCAGGCGGCGGUGACGGGGGGGCCCGAAACGGCCUCACACAUCCGCUCGUCGGGGGUGGCUGGCCCUACGCAACUUUCUCUCUCAACCACCUGGAACCGUUAGACGCUACACACCAAUUAAUCACAACUUUUAACAACGGAUCUCUUGGCUCUC